CCUAAUACAUGCAAGUCGAACGCUUCUUUUUCCACCGGGAGCUUGCUCCACCGGAAAAAGAGGAGUGGCGAACGGGUGAGUAACACGUGGGUAACCUGCCCAUCAGAAGGGGAUAACACUUGGAAACAGGUGCUAAUACCGUAUAACAAUCAAAACCGCAUGGUUUUGAUUUGAAAGGCGCUUUCGGGUGUCGCUGAUGGAUGGACCCGCGGUGCAUUAGCUAGUUGGUGAGGUAACGGCUCACCAAGGCCACGAUGCAUAGCCGACCUGAGAGGGUGAUCGGCCACAUUGGGACUGAGACACGGCCCAAACUCCUACGGGAGGCAGCAGUAGGGAAUCUUCGGCAAUGGACGAAAGUCUGACCGAGCAACGCCGCGUGAGUGAAGAAGGUUUUCGGAUCGUAAAACUCUGUUGUUAGAGAAGAACAAGGAUGAGAGUAACUGUUCAUCCCUUGACGGUAUCUAACCAGAAAGCCACGGCUAACUACGUGCCAGCAGCCGCGGUAAUACGUAGGUGGCAAGCGUUGUCCGGAUUUAUUGGGCGUAAAGCGAGCGCAGGCGGUUUCUUAAGUCUGAUGUGAAAGCCCCCGGCUCAACCGGGGAGGGUCAUUGGAAACUGGGAGACUUGAGUGCAGAAGAGGAGAGUGGAAUUCCAUGUGUAGCGGUGAAAUGCGUAGAUAUAUGGAGGAACACCAGUGGCGAAGGCGGCUCUCUGGUCUGUAACUGACGCUGAGGCUCGAAAGCGUGGGGAGCAAACAGGAUUAGAUACCCUGGUAGUCCACGCCGUAAACGAUGAGUGCUAAGUGUUGGAGGGUUUCCGCCCUUUCAGUGCUGCAGCUAACGCAUUAAGCACUCCGCCUGGGGGAGUACGACCGCAAAGGUUGAAACUCAAAGGGAAUUGACGGGGGGCCC
This 911-nucleotide ribosomal RNA is filed under the name Enterococcus faecium. Its description in RNAcentral is "bacterial SSU rRNA". It matches the Rfam family "Bacterial small subunit ribosomal RNA", at positions 47 to 923 of the family's 1533-position model. The record is from RNAcentral. Lineage: Bacteria; Bacillati; Bacillota; Bacilli; Lactobacillales; Enterococcaceae.